This 328-nucleotide unclassified non-coding RNA is filed under the name Shewanella putrefaciens. Lineage: Bacteria; Pseudomonadati; Pseudomonadota; Gammaproteobacteria; Alteromonadales; Shewanellaceae. The record is from RNAcentral.
CCUAUACACCAACUCGAUGCUUUUGAGUGCUCACACAGAUUGCUUGUUUAUCCUGUCUUAGGACGGGUAGAGCGAAACAUCCCUCUAGCAGGUCGAUGUAGUUCUUUAACAAUUUGGAAAGCUGAUAGUAAUUAAUGGCAUGAGUCUGUCAUGUGAUUAAUUACAAAAAGUUUAAUGCGAAAGCAUUGAACAUUGAGUUCUCAAACACUUUAUUAAGUGUCUUGAAUAUUCAAGUCUAAGGCGCGUCCACUUCUUUGGUCAGAAGUGAGACAAGUAAAACCAGCUGGUCGCAACAAUUCAAGUGAUGUGAAACUCAUUUGGGUUGUAU